UGGGGAAUAUUGGACAAUGGGCACAAGCCUGAUCCAGCCAUGCCGCGUGAGUGAUGAAGGCCCUAGGGUUGUAAAGCUCUUUCACCGGUGAAGAUAAUGACGGUAACCGGAGAAGAAGCCCCGGCUAACUUCGUGCCAGCAGCCGCGGUAAUACGAAGGGGGCUAGCGUUGUUCGGAUUUACUGGGCGUAAAGCGCACGUAGGCGGACUUUUAAGUCAGGGGUGAAAUCCCGGGGCUCAACCCCGGAACUGCCUUUGAUACUGGAAGUCUUGAGUAUGGUAGAGGUGAGUGGAAUUCCGAGUGUAGAGGUGAAAUUCGUAGAUAUUCGGAGGAACACCAGUGGCGAAGGCGGCUCACUGGACCAUUACUGACGCUGAGGUGCGAAAGCGUGGGGAGCAAACAGG
This 404-nucleotide ribosomal RNA is filed under the name Brucella melitensis. RNAcentral's name for it is "partial 16S ribosomal RNA". It matches the Rfam family "Bacterial small subunit ribosomal RNA", at positions 355 to 776 of the family's 1533-position model. RNAcentral also lists the same sequence under 2 other names. The record is from RNAcentral. Lineage: Bacteria; Pseudomonadati; Pseudomonadota; Alphaproteobacteria; Hyphomicrobiales; Brucellaceae.